CCCUUAGAUGUUCUGGGCGGCCCGCGCACUACAUUGGCCCUCUCAAUAAGUUCCUAGAUCUAAAACUUUGGGGUAUUCUAUUAAGUGGUGUCGUGACUGGGAUUAACCCUUGCAAUUAUUGGUUACGAACGAGGAAUUCCUUGUAAUCGCGGUUUAUCAGCCCGCGUUGAAUGCGUCCCUGCCCUUUGUACACACCGCCCGUCGCUCCUACCGAUGAAUCGUCCGGUGAAGUUCAUGGAGUGGUGGUUGUUCCAGCUGCUGUCGAAGUGAAAUGGACCUCACGAUUUAGAGGAAGGAGAAGUCGUAACA
Molecule: ribosomal RNA, 309 nt
Filed under: uncultured eukaryote
Lineage: Eukaryota
Description: partial 18S ribosomal RNA
Rfam family: Eukaryotic small subunit ribosomal RNA
Source: RNAcentral